Molecule: long non-coding RNA, 1130 nt
Filed under: Mytilus galloprovincialis (Mediterranean mussel)
Lineage: Eukaryota; Metazoa; Mollusca; Bivalvia; Mytilida; Mytilidae
Source: RNAcentral
AAAAUUGAUACAUAAUUAUAAAUGUCUUUUUUUCGACUCAAGGAUGAAGAUGAUGAUGGCCCAAUAGAGUUCUUACAGUUAAAGAAAUACAGGAAAAUUGGUUCAGUGGUAAGUUCAAACUACUUACUUCGAAAACUUAAUCCUGAAUUGUACGCAUAAUGUUACAUUAUUGAAACGUUUACUUAACGUGAUUCACUUUAUAAAAAGGUAUUGACACAUUAAUAAGAACACAAUUAUAAAUCUUCUGUUUGCAAAACUCGAAUAUAUUUUGAAAUACUAUGGAUUUUCUACCUUAUAUAAAUAUUACCUUGGCUGUUUUUAUCAAUUAUGAGUCAAUGAUGGGUCUUUUGAAGACGAAACGCGCGUAUCGCGUACAAAAUAUUACUUUAGGUAUCUAUGAUGAGCUGUCACGAAAAUAAGAAGAUUGUCAAGAAACAUUUUGGUCUGUGAAAAUAGUUAUUGUUUAAGUGACAUUUGAACUGUUAGGUUUUAAGUUGUUGUUACAUCAACGACCUGACAGCUUUUAACUUUUACGAAACACUAUUUUUGUUUGUUUUUUUUAUUUUACGUUAUGCUCAUUAUCUUGCAUGUUGCGAUGAUCUUUACUCAACCCGAUGUGACUUCUUAAAAAGUCUUAAGAUCUACUCUAAAAUAUCAUAAAUAACUCUCAUAACUUUGCAAUAAUAGCAAUAAUUUGAUUUUUCUAUUCUAUAUAUGUAUUUAUAAAAUAAAUGACGAUAAACUUUAACCAAUUAUAAAAAAAAAAUGUCUAUAUAUAAUAAAUAUAUAUAAUUUACAAUAAGUACUAUUGCAUAUGAUUUAUUUACUUUUUAAGGAACACAUGCCUUGGAAUCUCAAACAGGACAGUAAAACAAAAUACCGAAAAGGUCCAGAUGACGAAAGCAUUGUUUGAAAUUAAGAACACUUUUUUUCUGAUGAAUGUUGAACAUUUACAAAAGUGUUAAUUUCCAUGCAAGUGCUAUUGACAAUUUGAGUUGUUUGGUUUCAGAGAUUUUUUCAUGAUUGACCAAAGAUGUUUGUUGGUUAAUUGUGUGGUGUUUUUUUCUUUAUAUCUUUAUUCAAUAAGAAUUUACUCGACCUGUUUUGUUUGAGAAUUUUUGUCUUCAUUA